CUGGGCUUUCUCUGGUGUGGGCUGUGAUGCUUGCUCGUGCUCCAGUCUCAGCCGCUGGAUUUCCUGCAGUAUCUCUCUGUUUUUGUUUUCCAGCUCUGCUAUCAGCUGUCUUUGCUGUUUGUUGGCAUCGAAGUUAAAACCCAGGUCUGUGGGUGGGCGAGGCGUGUUGCUGGCCUCAGCGGCCAGCCUGGCUGCGUAGCGGGCGA
RNAcentral lists this long non-coding RNA (206 nucleotides) under Gallus gallus (chicken). The record is from RNAcentral. Lineage: Eukaryota; Metazoa; Chordata; Aves; Galliformes; Phasianidae.